CCCUACGGGACGCAGCAGUGGGGAAUUUUGGACAAUGGGCGCAAGCCUGAUCCAGCAAUGCCGCGUGCAGGAAGAAGGCCUUCGGGUUGUAAACUGCUUUUGUACGGAACGAAAAGGCUCUGGUUAAUACCUGGGGCUCAUGACGGUACCGUAAGAAUAAGCACCGGCUAACUACGUGCCAGCAGCCGCGGUAAUACGUAGGGUGCAAGCGUUAAUCGGAAUUACUGGGCGUAAAGCGUGCGCAGGCGGUUUUGUAAGACAGACGUGAAAUCCCCGGGCUCAACCUGGGAAUGGCGUUUGUGACUGCAAAGCUGGAGUGCGGCAGAGGGGGAUGGAAUUCCGCGUGUAGCAGUGAAAUGCGUAGAUAUGCGGAGGAACACCGAUGGCGAAGGCAAUCCCCUGGGCCUGCACUGACGCUCAUGCACGAAAGCGUGGGGAGCAAACAGGAUUAGAUACCCUGGUAGU
This 465-nucleotide ribosomal RNA is filed under the name uncultured bacterium. Its description in RNAcentral is "bacterial SSU rRNA". It matches the Rfam family "Bacterial small subunit ribosomal RNA", at positions 337 to 794 of the family's 1533-position model. The record is from RNAcentral.